UCGACGGCAGCACGGGAGCAAUCCUGGUGGCGAGUGGCGAACGGGUGAGUAAUGUAUCGGAACGUACCUUUCAGUGGGGGAUAACGUAGCGAAAGUUACGCUAAUACCGCAUAUUCUGUGAGCAGGAAAGCAGGGGAUCGCAAGACCUUGCGCUGAUUGAGCGGCCGAUAUCAGAUUAGCUAGUUGGUGAGGUAAAGGCUCACCAAGGCGACGAUCUGUAGCGGGUCUGAGAGGAUGAUCCGCCACACUGGAACUGAGACACGGUCCAGACUCCUACGGGAGGCAGCAGUGGGGAAUUUUGGACAAUGGGCGCAAGCCUGAUCCAGCCAUGCCGCGUGAGUGAAGAAGGCCUUCGGGUUGUAAAGCUCUUUCAGCCGGGAAGAAAACGCAUGGGUUAAUACCCUGUGUGGAUGACGGUACCGGAAUAAGAAGCACCGGCUAACUACGUGCCAGCAGCCGCGGUAAUACGUAGGGUGCGAGCGUUAAUCGGAAUUACUGGGCGUAAAGCGUGCGCAGGCGGUUUGUUAAGAUAGGCGUGAAAUCCCCGGGCUCAACCUGGGAACUGCGUUUAUGACUGGCAGGCUAGAGUAUGGCAGAGGGGGGUGGAAUUCCACGUGUAGCAGUGAAAUGCGUAGAGAUGUGGAGGAACACCGAUGGCGAAGGCAGCCCCCUGGGCCAAUACUGACGCUCAUGCACGAAAGCGUGGGUAGCAAACAGGAUUAGAUACCCUGGUAGUCCACGCCCUAAACGAUGUCAACUAGGUGUUGGGUGGGUAAAACCAUUUAGUACCGGAGCUAACGCG
This 802-nucleotide ribosomal RNA is filed under the name uncultured bacterium. RNAcentral's name for it is "bacterial SSU rRNA". It matches the Rfam family "Bacterial small subunit ribosomal RNA", at positions 62 to 859 of the family's 1533-position model. The record is from RNAcentral.